Molecule: non-coding RNA, 87 nt
Organism: Peziza echinospora
Lineage: Eukaryota; Fungi; Ascomycota; Pezizomycetes; Pezizales; Pezizaceae
Source: the annotation of a GenBank genome assembly
GGAGAGGUGUCCGAGUGGCUUAAGGAGCACGCCUGGAAAGCGUGUGUAGGUUCAUGCCUACCGCGGGUUCGAAUCCCGCCCUCUCCG